RNAcentral lists this long non-coding RNA (757 nucleotides) under Rattus norvegicus (Norway rat). RNAcentral's name for it is "long non-coding RNA NONRATT011228". Lineage: Eukaryota; Metazoa; Chordata; Mammalia; Rodentia; Muridae. The record is from RNAcentral.
GCCCGCCUGCCCGAGGCUCUCUGUUCCCUAUCCCGCCGCCACCUCCGGGCGACCUGGCGGGAGCAGCCGUAAUUGGAUCUUCGUCGCCUCCUCCCCUCCCUGCCCCUCAUCGGGGAGCCGGUUAAAGGCUGGGUACCUCGGCACCACCGGCGGAUCCCAACCUGUGAUUUGGCUGCCGGGCUUCCCCCGGGCGGCUCGGCGACACCCUGCAGGCUGGGCCCUCCCCCACCGCUGGCCCUGCGACAUAAAGAAGCUGGACCUAGAGUCCCAUGGAUGGUGGAGGCAGCCUAGCAUGUCAGCAACACUUCCAAGCCCUAGACUGAGACAUCAGGACAGGAGGACGGUGACAACCACCUAAGGGGCUCAAGCCAGAUUCACCUCCAAUGUCCCAUUCUUCACAAAACCUACUCCAGCCCCCCCCCUGGAGCCAUGUUGAAGAGUUUGUCCCACAGCUGCUCUCCAGAGUAAUGCUUUCUGUGCCAGACAAAAGCACAUAAACAGGGCUGUGCUCUAACCCAUACAAGAAGAAGCCCUGUGGAGCGGGACACAAGCUGAUGCUGCCAAUCACUCUCUUCUCUAAGACAGCAAGAUGGCAGCACUGACCGCAGCACAUAGUGAGACUGCCUAGCCUCAGAAACUGUGGCUGACUUGUCCUCGGCCACUUGCUCAUUCACCAACAAUGGAUGUCUCUAGAGUCUAGACUCCAAGGGUCAUACACCCAAUCGUAAUAGUUUUUCUCACCUUCCUACCACAUUUG